UACGUAGGGUGCGAGCGUUGUCCGGAAUUAUUGGGCGUAAAGAGCUCGUAGGCGGCCUGUCGCGUCGGUUGUGAAAGCCCGGGGCUUAACCCCGGGUCUGCAGUCGAUACGGGCAGGCUAGAGUUCGGUAGGGGAGAUCGGAAUUCCUGGUGUAGCGGUGAAAUGCGCAGAUAUCAGGAGGAACACCGGUGGCGAAGGCGGAUCUCUGGGCCGAUACUGACGCUGAGGAGCGAAAGCAUGGGGAGCGAACAGG
Molecule: ribosomal RNA, 253 nt
Filed under: uncultured bacterium
Lineage: Bacteria
Description: partial 16S ribosomal RNA
Rfam family: Bacterial small subunit ribosomal RNA
Source: RNAcentral